AUAUCGCUCAUUUUAAUAUCAUCAUAUAUAAGUCAAACUCGUUUAUCAUUUGUUUGAAAACGAAAAAUAGAAAACAAAAAGAAAAAUUCUUUCUAAUGCCCUUUUCAUGAUGCCCCUUUUCAACUCUACCUUUUUGUUUUAUCCAUUUUUAUUUCUACCCUCUUUAAUUUUUUAAUGACCAUUUUACCCUUAUUUGGAAAUUGUUUUAGGUUAACAAAAUGAAAUAUUAAUAUUUUUCGCCUCAAAUAUUCCAAAACAAAAUUUCCCGCCAAAAUUUUCCCGCCAAAAACUUUCGAAAAAAUAUUUCCUGCCCAAUUUUUGUUUUCAAAAAUAUUUUUCCCGCCAAUUUUUUUUUUAGCGGGAAAUAGAUUUACAAGGAAUUUUAAAAGAGCUUUAAAAGAUUUACAAGGGAUUUAAAAGGGGUUUUAUAAGAUUUACAAGGGAUUUUAAAAGCGUGAUUUACAAGGGAUUUUAAAAGCGUGAUUUACAAGGGAUUUUAAAAGGUUUUUAAAAGAUUUACAAGGGAUUUUAAAAGGGUUUUAAAAGAUUUACAAGAGAUUUUAAAGGGAUUUAAAAGAUUUACAAAGGUCUUUUAAAGAUUUUUAAAGGAUUUAAAAUUGUUUUAAAAGGAUUUUAAAAUAUUUACAAGGGAUUUUAAAAUAGUUUUACAAUAUUUACAAGGGAUUGUAAAUUUUUAAACCCUUUUAAAAUUCCUUGUAAAUCUUUUAAAAGUCUUUUAAAAUCUCUUGUAAAUCUUUUAAAAUCUUUUUAAAAUCUCUUGUAAAUCUUUUAAAACCCUUUUAAAAUCUUUUGUAAAUCUAUUUGCCGCCAACAAAUAUUU
RNAcentral lists this small RNA (841 nucleotides) under Arabidopsis thaliana (thale cress). Its description in RNAcentral is "ATSL286370". Lineage: Eukaryota; Viridiplantae; Streptophyta; Magnoliopsida; Brassicales; Brassicaceae. The record is from RNAcentral.